AGAGCGAACGCUGGCGGCAGGCCUAAUACAUGCAAGUCGAACGGACCCUUCGGGGUUAGUGGCGGACGGGUGAGUAACACGUGGGAACGUGCCCUUUGGUUCGGAACAACUCAGGGAAACUUGAGCUAAUACCGGAUGUGCCCUUCGGGGGAAAGAUUUAUCGCCAUUGGAGCGGCCCGCGUCUGAUUAGCUAGUUGGUGGGGUAAAGGCUCACCAAGGCUACGAUCAGUAGCUGGUCUGAGAGGAUGAUCAGCCACACUGGGACUGAGACACGGCCCAGACUCCUACGGGAGGCAGCAGUAGGGAAUCUUGCGCAAUGGGCGAAAGCCUGACGCAGCCAUGCCGCGUGAAUGAUGAAGGUCUUAGGAUUGUAAAAUUCUUUCAGCGGGGACGAUAAUGACGGUACCCGCAGAAGAACGCCCCGGCUAACUUCGUGCCAGCAGCCGC
Molecule: ribosomal RNA, 447 nt
Filed under: uncultured bacterium
Lineage: Bacteria
Description: SSU rRNA
Rfam family: Bacterial small subunit ribosomal RNA
Source: RNAcentral